AAUAUUAGACAACGGGGGCAACCCUGAUCCAGCCACGCCGCGUGUGUGAAGAAGGUCUUCGGAUUGUAAAGCACUUUUAGUAGGGAGGAAGGGCAGUACGUUAAUACCUUGCUGUUUUGACGUUACCGACAGAAUAAGCACCGGCUAACUUCGUGCCAGCAGCCGCGGUAAUUCGAAGGGUGCACGCGUUAAUCGGAAUUACUGGGCGUAAAGCGGGAGUAAGUGGUUUGUUAAAUUGGAAGGGAAAGCCCCGGGGUCAACCUGGGAACUGCUUUCAAAAAUGGCAAGCUAGAGGAUGGCAGAGGGUGGUGGAAUUUCCUGUGUAGCGGUGAAAUGCGUAGAUAUAGGAAGGAACACCAGUGGCGAAGGCGACUACCUGGACUGAUACUGACACUGAGGUGCGAAAGCGUGGGGAGCAAAC
This 421-nucleotide ribosomal RNA is filed under the name uncultured bacterium. RNAcentral describes it as "partial 16S ribosomal RNA". It matches the Rfam family "Bacterial small subunit ribosomal RNA", at positions 360 to 773 of the family's 1533-position model. The record is from RNAcentral.